GACGAACGCUGGCGGCGUGCUUAACACAUGCAAGUCGAACGGAAAGGCCCCUUCGGGGGUACUCGAGUGGCGAACGGGUGAGUAACACGUGAGUAACCUGCCCUUGACUUCGGGAUAACUUCAGGAAACUGGGGCUAAUACCGGAUAGGAAUCCUUGCUGCAUGGAGGGGGUUGGAAAGCUUCGGCGGGUUUGGAUGGACUUGCGGCUUAUCAGGUUGUUGGUGGGGUAGUGGCUUACCAAGGCUUUGACGGGUGGCCGGCCUGGGGGGGCGACCGGCCAAAUUGGGACUGGGAUACGGCCCAGACUCCCACGGGGGGGAGGAGGGGGGAAUAUUGGACAAAGGGGGGGAGGCUGAUGCAGGAAAGCCGCGGGGGGGAGGACGGGCUUCCGGUUGGAAAACGGCUUCAGCAGGGGCGAAGCUUGUGGUGACGGUACCUGCAGAAGAAGCACCGGCUAACUACGUG
RNAcentral lists this ribosomal RNA (465 nucleotides) under uncultured bacterium. Its description in RNAcentral is "partial 16S ribosomal RNA". It matches the Rfam family "Bacterial small subunit ribosomal RNA", at positions 28 to 507 of the family's 1533-position model. The record is from RNAcentral.